This 459-nucleotide ribosomal RNA is filed under the name uncultured bacterium. RNAcentral's name for it is "partial 16S ribosomal RNA". It matches the Rfam family "Bacterial small subunit ribosomal RNA", at positions 338 to 795 of the family's 1533-position model. The record is from RNAcentral.
CCUACGGGUGGCAGCAGUGAGGAAUAUUGGUCAAUGGGCGGGAGCCUGAACCAGCCAAGUCGCGUGAAGGAAGAAGGUACUUAGUAUUGUAAACCUCUUUUGUCAGGGAACAAAGGCGGGGACGCGUCCCCGGAUGAGUGUACCUGAAGAAAAAGCAUCGGCUAACUCCGUGCCAGCAGCCGCGGUAAUACGGAGGAUGCGAGCGUUAUCCGGAUUUAUUGGGUUUAAGGGGUGCGCAGGCGGUCUGUUAAGUCCGCGGUCAAAGCCCGGGGCUCAACCCCGGCCCGCCGUUGAAACUGGCAGUCUCGAGUUGGAGAGAAGUAGGCGGAAUGCGCGGUGUAGCGGUGAAAUGCAUAGAUAUCGCGCAGAACUCCGAUUGCGAAGGCAGCAUGCCGGCUCCACACUGACGCUGAGGCACGAAAGCGUGGGUAUCGAACAGGAUUAGAUACCCCUGUAGUC